AACGAACGCUGGCGGCAGGCCUAAUACAUGCAAGUCGAACGGGCGUAGCAAUACGUCAGUGGCGGACGGGUGAGUAACACGUGGGAACAUGCCUUUCGGUUCGGAAUAACGCAGGGAAACUUGCGCUAAUACCGGAUGACCCGGCGACGGAAAAGAUUUAUCGCCGAAAGGUUGGCCCGCGUAGGAUUAGCUAGUUGGUGAGGUAACGGCCCACCAAGGCGACGAUCCUUAGCUGGUUUGAGAGAACGAUCAGCCACACUGGGACUGAGACACGGCCCAGACUCCUACGGGAGGCAGCAGUAGGGAAUCUUGGAC
RNAcentral lists this ribosomal RNA (315 nucleotides) under uncultured bacterium. Its description in RNAcentral is "bacterial SSU rRNA". It matches the Rfam family "Bacterial small subunit ribosomal RNA", at positions 29 to 369 of the family's 1533-position model. The record is from RNAcentral.